CUCUGAAUACAAAGCACAUAAGCAAACAAAUAUAACAGCAUCAGUUAAAUUCUGGUGGAAACUAUGAGGAUUUUUGAAAACUGCAUUUGCACUCGAAACUCUAGUGGCUUCAGAGUUAAAGAAAGCAUGCUGAGAGGUCUAUCAAUGCAAAGGGUCAUCUGUGAAAUCUCCACCUAGAUCUAAGGACCACUGGGCAAACAGCAUGGUGCUAGAUAUAACCAGCUAUUUUCCCCAUGAAGCAUAUCAGGACUCCAAAAAUCUCUGGCAUCCACUCUUUCCUGACAUAGAUCAUGUGGCUUAGGGGAAAACUAACAUCAC
This is a long non-coding RNA of Gorilla gorilla gorilla (western lowland gorilla), 318 nucleotides long. RefSeq lists it as uncharacterized. The record is from RefSeq and is a predicted model, not a curated record. The transcript has 3 exons. NCBI's taxonomy places the organism in Eukaryota, Metazoa, Chordata, Mammalia, Primates, Hominidae.